RNAcentral lists this unclassified non-coding RNA (4548 nucleotides) under Leishmania donovani. RNAcentral describes it as "gene:LdHU3.25.1580(CDS-product:WD_domain_G-beta_r epeat_putative)". Lineage: Eukaryota; Euglenozoa; Kinetoplastea; Trypanosomatida; Trypanosomatidae. The record is from RNAcentral.
UGGUCCUCCUCUGUCUUCCCACCGAUAUACACAUAAACCUACACACUCAAAGUACCCUUGCCGGUGCGUCUCUGCGAGUAACGUAUGCUUCCCAGAAAGACGAAGCGCUCCGCUGCAGCAGCAGAUGCGCCGCCAGCGGCGAAACUGACGCCUACCAAACGCGCCGCAGCCUCCCCAGCAAAGCCGUCCACUAACCGGCCUCCGCGGCCGCAGUCGGUGACGACCCCAAUCAAGAGGAGCUCCGUGGCUGGCGACCCAAGUCUGGCGCCCUCCUCUUCCUCUACUCCGAAGCGGCAACAGCAGCCGCAAGUAUCUCAGCCGCAGCUGUACACCCCUGAAGUGCAGCGUAGCCAGAGCACCGUCAAGCAGGCGCGCGAGAGCUCGUUCGCCUCCUCGCCUCAGGCGAUACCACCCGCCCCCGCCAACAGCCCGGCACCGGCCUCCAGCAGGGCCCCUCAACGACGCUCCUCAGCCUCCCCAAACCAGCAGAGCCCCAGCGAGAAGGCUGCGAGUGCAAAGGCGAACAGCACCGCUGCGGCGGCGUCGACGGCGCUGACAACUUCCGCAUCUCCAGUCUCACCGACUUCGCCGCCGCCAUCGCCCUCCCGGCACGAGAGGCCGACGCCCUUGCGAUCACCGCUGUCGGCGAGCCCCGCGAGGCGGGGCGCCAGCGGCGUUAUGAACAGCAGCACCUCUGCGGGCGCCACGCCGGCGUCUACGGGACCGGGACGAAAAGCUGCAUCGACUGCCGCUGCAGGUGCCGCGAACGUAAACGCCGGCGUUAGCGCUGCCGCUGAAGGGACGGCCAAGUCCUCGAAGUCUGCACGAAGCCGCAGUGUGCGUCGCAGCCGUGCCCGCGCGGCCGUGUCGACAUUCACGUCGGCGACAUCCUCAGCAGAGGCGCACUUCGUCGAGCGCUUCAUACGUGAGUCAAAGGUGAUCGCGCCGGACGUGAGCGGCAUUCUAUGCCUCGCGGUGCAUCCGUCGGAGCAGGAACUCAUCGUUGCGCGUGAGAACGGUUCGCUCGUGCGCUACGACGUGGCGUUUUUCCAGGGCGUUCCGCAGUUUGUACGGCGCCGCCACACGGGCGGCCAGACGCACCGCACCAUUUCAGGACUGGCCUACGUGACUGUCCCGACAUCAGUGUCGUCGUCGUCCUCGGUGUCGAAGUCCGGAGCAGCGUCAGCGGCCCGCCACGUGCUCCUCGCCUCCAUGAUGUCCGGUCAGAUCGUCGUCUAUGACGCGGAGCUGCUCGUUCCCAUUGCGCUGCACCAGCGCAGCGGUGGCGCCAUAUGGGCUCUGCACGCGGUGAGUGCUGCAUGCAUCUACGCCGCCAUGGCAGACGGGAGCUGGCAGCAGCUGCGCCUCACGUGUAAGCGAGACGGCGCGGCCCCACAGCUGGAGCUGGUGCGCGUCGUACCCGGCAUCAGCGGCGCCGACCGUGCCUUGUCUGUGACGACGUCUCUGUCGCUGCGCAUGGCGGUCGGCACCGACGACGCCGGUAACGUACAUGCGUGGCGCUUGCCUGCUGGCGUGUCGUCGCAAGGGUCUUCUGUCGGCGUCGGCGCCGCGGAGGAGGACGACGAGGCUGCCGCUCCCAGCCGUGCACGCGGUUUGGCCGAGCACGAGUCUCUCUGGACCACGAAACUAGCGAAGGGCAUCGCUCUCAGCUGCGCUGUGGUCGGCGGGACGCAGCGCCCCUGUGCUGUUGUCGGGACGUCGAUGGGCGACGUCGUGCUGCUCGAUGCCGCGCACGGACACGUCUUCCAAACCUUCUCGCAGCACAAGGGACCGGUGUCGACGCUGGCGGUGCAGGGCGACGCUGUUGUAUACGCGUCCGGCUGGCACGAGAGCCUUCGGAGCUACCGCUGCAACGAACAGGGCGACUGGUAUCCGGCGGAGGUGAAGCGCCGCACACACUAUCACGAGGCGAGCCAGCUGGCGCUGUUGCCGCAUCGCCGACUGAUCUUGUCUGCGUCGCGCGACGGCACGAUCAUGUACGCGCCGACGGCGCAGCUGUUCACGUUGCCGGCGAUGUACGUGGUGGUCACGACGCAGCAGUUUGCCUACGCGGUCGAUCGCGAGCUCCUCUUGCAAUCCCGCUUCGACACCAUCGAGGUCUUCCACAUGGACAGCGCCGCUCGUCACUGGGUGCCCUUCUUCGGCCACCGUCUCGAUGGCCGCUUCCACCUUUCCGGCCUGUGGUGCGAUCGCCAGCUCAACUACAUCGUCUUCAGCACAGAGGAGCGCAUUGGGUUGCUGAAGGUGGUGUGGCGUGCACAUGCGGCAAUGUCUGUGUCAAGGCUCGAGGCAGUGCUGGAGCUGCCGGCGCGCAGCGGUGUGGUCGACGUCUGCUGGUCGGGUACCGCUGCUGCCGCGGGAUCGGCAGAGGAGGCUAGCGCGGGUGCAAGUGAAGAGACGACCGCAGACGCAUCGGCCUUGUUGCCCGCGUCGCAGCGACUCUACAUCCUCUACGACGACAGCGUCACGUGCGUUACUCUCGCUGACGGGUAUCCGGUCGUGCACACUCCCGUGCAGGUUCGCGGGAAGCGGCUCCCCGACGACUCGCUGCGUCCCUACCGGGUACUGUGCCGUCCAACAGCUGCAGCUUCGCUUACCAGGAGUUGCAGUAGUGGCCCGGCACCUGACGCAACAGAGGACGAGGAGCUUGUCAUCUACGGUCACCGAGGCAGCUGCCGCAUGCGUCUCAUGGCCGAUGGCACCCCCGAAGCGGACUCCCUGGUCGCCGAUUUGGAUGACGUGUACGAGCUGGCGCAGGAGUUGCCGCUGCUGCAGGAUGCGUUGAGCAAGAGGGUCAAUGAUGACAGUCACGAUGGUGUAGAGCGGACACUGAAGAGGGCAAGGGUGGAGGCGUCGGCCUCGUCAGCGCCGGCGAAGGCAAUAUCCUGCGAGGCUCUGAUUGGCUUGUCCACGCUGCGGCAGCGGUACUUCGUAGGCUCAACGCUGCACUCAUCCUCGGCAGCCAUCACACCACUGUCGGCGACGCUGCCACAUGAUGUGCGCUGGAUUGCCCGCAUCGCAGCGUUUUCGUCGAGCAACGGUACUAAGACCACCGCCCAAGCCGUCGCCGCCUCAUACAGGUACCUUGGCUACUUCAGCCGUGGUCUCCUUGUCGCUACGGGGGAUAGCUGGCACAUGGUGCGCCGCAUGUGCGUGGAGGCUGCCUUCCUCAUAAAGGGUGGCACGGAGGUGUUGGUGUUGGAGCGCAACCUCGAGAAGACCCUGGAGGCCCUUCCCCUCUGCUGGAAGGUACGCCGAUUCGGCAACUGAGGGCGCGCACCACCAGUGUACACACUUGAACAAGGCAGAUGUGCGAGUGUGGGCGUGCUUGCAUCCGUGCUUCUGUCGGGGCUCGAGAGCUGCCGGUAGAGGAGCUGAGCGGCGACCACACUUGUGUGAGCAUGUUAAUGUCUUCGCGGCGUAAGCGAAGCCGCUGACGCCGGUGCAGGGAGGCGGUGGGGAGUGUGUGUGUGCGUGUGCGGCGGCCGCUCUCUGGGUGUGUUCCAUGCUACAGCGCAUGAUCUGAUGGCGUGCAUCCCAGUGGGGGAGGGAGGUGGUGGUGGGGGGCGCCUGUGCCUUGGCGUGUGCAGGACCCCCCCCCCCCCCCCCCCCACAUCUCCCGCGUCAUCCGGGCCUUUCCACGUUAACUUUGUUUCUUCUUUCUUUUCGCGCUAACGCCUUGCAACGACUAAAAAAAAACGGCAGAGAGUGCGUGUGAUCGAAGGACGUCGAUGGUGGCGAUGCCGCCGAUGACGCCUGCGUGAGCGCAUUUCUUUUCGCUCUCCCUCACCCUAUAAACGAAGCCGACGAAAAAAUCGGGCCGCGCUGCCCUUGGUGCCAUGCGCGCGCCGUGCAUGCGGGCCAAUGCACACACACCCGCACAGGGGUAUGUACACACAGACACACAUAUGCAUAUGCGUGUAGAUGACUGGCGCAGUUGAAGGGCUGUAGCGGUGGUGGUAUGGGCCCCUUACAAUAGGGGCACAUACACCGUGGCGGCGGGAAGAAGGGGGGCAGAGGUAGUGAGAAAGAACAUGAGAGCUGUGCAGGUGGGAGGGGAGAGUGUGGCGAGGCUUGGCAGCUGAUCCACCUUUCCCCUCGUUUUGCUCUUCUUUCCUCUGUGCGUGUGCGCAACCUGUUCCGUCCCCAUCUCGCUCGAAAGGAGGCAUCCUGGUGUGCAGUGCCUUCCGUGCAGCCCCCUCUCAACCCACACACCCCCUGCUCACCUUCGAGGGAGUUUGCAUACACGCACGCACACACUCGAAGCGGUAAAUAUGGCCAGAGUGAGGGGGGGGGGGGCGGACACAACGGUUUGCUCAGCCCUCUGCAGUCCUUCCCCCCUUCCUCUCCUCAGCACGCCUCUGCUUUCUACGCCGCCGUAUGCUCUGGUUGCUUCCCAUCUUGUUUUCUCUUUUAUGCUGCUAUUACAACCUCGGCCGCUACCCUCUGCUCCCGUUCCGAUCUUCUCUCCUUCCAUGCACAACGAUGUCCACCUCACACCUGUAUGCGCGCACGCGUGAUGGCUAG